GCCAUCGUGGUGUAGUGGUCAGCACACUCGACGCACAAUCGAGAGGUUCGUAGUUCGAUUCCCUGCGAGGGCA
This 73-nucleotide transfer RNA is filed under the name Stegodyphus mimosarum. It matches the Rfam family "tRNA". From Rfam's summary of the family: Transfer RNA (tRNA) molecules are approximately 80 nucleotides in length. Their secondary structure includes four short double-helical elements and three loops (D, anti-codon, and T loops). Lineage: Eukaryota; Metazoa; Arthropoda; Arachnida; Araneae; Eresidae. The record is from Rfam by way of RNAcentral.